RNAcentral lists this ribosomal RNA (468 nucleotides) under uncultured Flavobacteriaceae bacterium. Its description in RNAcentral is "bacterial SSU rRNA". It matches the Rfam family "Bacterial small subunit ribosomal RNA", at positions 28 to 486 of the family's 1533-position model. Lineage: Bacteria; Pseudomonadati; Bacteroidota; Flavobacteriia; Flavobacteriales; Flavobacteriaceae. The record is from RNAcentral.
GAUGAACGCUAGCGGCAGGCCUAACACAUGCAAGUCGAGGGGUAACGGGGAGUGCUUGCACUCUGCCGACGACCGGCGCACGGGUGCGCACCGCGUAUGGAACCUGCCUCUUGCAGGGGAAUAGCCCAGGGAAACUUGGAUUAAUGCCCCGUAGUACCUUUUUGUAGCAUUACAUUUAGGUUAUAGCCUUCGGGCGGCAAGAGAUGGCCAUGCGUCCCAUUAGCUAGAUGGUAAGGUAACGGCUUACCAUGGCUACGAUGGGUAGGGGCCCUGAGAGGGGGAUCCCCCACACUGGUACUGAGACACGGACCAGACUCCUACGGGAGGCAGCAGUGAGGAAUAUUGGACAAUGGAGGGGACUCUGAUCCAGCCAUGCCGCGUGCAGGAAGACGGCCCUAUGGGUUGUAAACUGCUUUUAUACGGGAAGAAAAACAGCCUACGUGUAGUUGACUGACGGUACCGUAAGAA